UCACAUUUCCAACCCACCUACAUCACUACAACUGAUAGCAUAUUCACAAAAACAAAAAAUUCACUUCCUGCAACAUUCUCCCAUCAUUUAAAAACAACUUUCACUACACAUCAUAAUCCAAAAAGUUUCCACAACCUUCAUACUUCCUCUCCUCAUUUCUUUCAUUUUAUACUACCAUUAAAAUUAUCUUCUCCAUAAACCCCUUUGAAAAAGUAAAUACCAAUCUCACUAAACCACUCCAUAAACGCCUUUGAAAAAUGAAAUACCAAUCUCACUAAACCGCA
Molecule: long non-coding RNA, 284 nt
Filed under: Lathyrus oleraceus (garden pea)
Lineage: Eukaryota; Viridiplantae; Streptophyta; Magnoliopsida; Fabales; Fabaceae
Description: Pisum sativum (pea) long non-coding RNA (PSAT_LNC033988)
Source: RNAcentral